UACGGGGGGGGCAAGCGUUGUUCGGAAUUACUGGGCGUAAAGGGCUCGUAGGCGGCCAACUAAGUCAGACGUGAAAUCCCUCGGCUUAACCGGGGAACUGCGUGUGAUACUGGCGGGCUUGAAUUCGGGAGAGGGAUGUGGAAUUCCGGGUGUAGCGGUGAAAUGCGUAGAUAUCUGGAGGAACACCGGUGGCGAAGGCGGCAUCCUGGACCGAGAUUGACGCUGAGGCGCGAAAGCUAGGGGAGCAAACGGG
Molecule: ribosomal RNA, 253 nt
Filed under: uncultured bacterium
Lineage: Bacteria
Description: partial 16S ribosomal RNA
Rfam family: Bacterial small subunit ribosomal RNA
Source: RNAcentral